This is a long non-coding RNA of Mycetomoellerius zeteki, 79 nucleotides long. RefSeq lists it as uncharacterized. Lineage: Eukaryota; Metazoa; Arthropoda; Insecta; Hymenoptera; Formicidae. The record is from RefSeq and is a predicted model, not a curated record. The transcript has 3 exons.
CACUAGACGAGAGCAGCGUGUUUCACUGGGUAUUUCGGUGCAAACGAAAACGGUGUGCGCUGGGAUGCUUUCAGGAAUU